AGUCUCUGCUGAAAUCCUGCGGCUUAACCGUAGGGCUUGCCGGAGAAACUCUCAGACUGGAGGAUGGGAGAGGUCGGAGGUACUUCUGGGGUAGGGGUGAAAUCCUAUAAUCCUAGAAGGACCACCAGUGGCGAAGGCGUCCGACAUGACCCUGCCUGACAGUGAGGGACGAGAGCCAGGGUCGCGANNCGGAUUAGAUACCCGUGUAGUCCUGGCCGUAACCAAUGUUGACUAGGUGGGGCGCGUACUUCGAGUACGUACUAUGCCCAAGGGAAACCGUUAA
Molecule: ribosomal RNA, 283 nt
Filed under: uncultured euryarchaeote
Lineage: Archaea; Methanobacteriati; Methanobacteriota
Description: partial 16S ribosomal RNA
Rfam family: Archaeal small subunit ribosomal RNA
Source: RNAcentral